CCUCUCGUAGUUUAGUGCUAGAACAUUGGUGCGUAAAGCCAAAGGUCCCGGGUUCGAUUCCCGGCGGGGGUG
This 72-nucleotide transfer RNA is filed under the name Agrilus planipennis (emerald ash borer). It matches the Rfam family "tRNA". From Rfam's summary of the family: Transfer RNA (tRNA) molecules are approximately 80 nucleotides in length. The record is from Rfam by way of RNAcentral. Lineage: Eukaryota; Metazoa; Arthropoda; Insecta; Coleoptera; Buprestidae.